CUAGCGGCAGGCUUAACACAUGCAAGUCGAGGGGUAACAUUGUGCUUGCACAGAUGACGACCGGCGCACGGGUGCGUAACGCGUAUAGAACCUACCUUUUACUGAGGGAUAGCCUUUAGAAAUGAAGAUUAAUACCUCAUGGCAUUGAGUAAUCGCAUGAUUAUUUAAUUAAAGAUUUAUUGGUAAAAGAUGGCUAUGCGUCCUAUUAGUUAGAUGGUAAGGUAACGGCUUACCAUGACUUUGAUAGGUAGGGGUCCUGAGAGGGAGAUCCCCCACACUGGUACUGAGACACGGACCAGACUCCUACGGGAGGCAGCAGUGAGGAAUAUUGGGCAAUGGAGGCAACUCUGACCCAGCCAUGCCGCGUGCAGGAAGACUGCCCUAUGGGUUGUAAACUGCUUUUAUACAGGAAGAAACACUGGUAUGUAUACCAGCUUGACGGUACUGUAAGAAUAAGGACCGGCUAACUCCGUGCCAGCAGCCGCGGUAAUACGGAGGGUCCGAGCGUUAUCCGGAAUCAUUGGGUUUAAAGGGUCCGCAGGCGGUCGAUUAAGUCAGAGGUGAAAUCCCAUAGCUCAACUAUGGAACUGCCUUUGAUACUGGUUGACUUGAGUCAUAUGGAAGUAGAUAGAAUGUGUAGUGUAGCGGUGAAAUGCAUAGAUAUUACACAGAAUACCGAUUGCGAAGGCAGUCUACUACGUAUGUACUGACGCUGAGGGACGAAAGCGUGGGGAGCGAACAGGAUUAGAUACCCUGGUAGUCCACGCCGUAAACGAUGGAUACUAGUUGUUGGGAUUUAUCUCAGUGACUAAGCGAAAGUGAUA
This 824-nucleotide ribosomal RNA is filed under the name uncultured Polaribacter sp. Its description in RNAcentral is "bacterial SSU rRNA". It matches the Rfam family "Bacterial small subunit ribosomal RNA", at positions 36 to 862 of the family's 1533-position model. Lineage: Bacteria; Pseudomonadati; Bacteroidota; Flavobacteriia; Flavobacteriales; Flavobacteriaceae. The record is from RNAcentral.